UUGCCUCUAUUUCCCAAGUGCAGG
This 24-nucleotide non-coding RNA is filed under the name Cricetulus griseus (Chinese hamster). Lineage: Eukaryota; Metazoa; Chordata; Mammalia; Rodentia; Cricetidae. The record is from RNAcentral.